Molecule: ribosomal RNA, 451 nt
Filed under: uncultured bacterium
Lineage: Bacteria
Description: partial 16S ribosomal RNA
Rfam family: Bacterial small subunit ribosomal RNA
Source: RNAcentral
GAUGAACGCUGGCGGCGUGCCUAACACAUGCAAGUCGAGCGGCAGCGAGGGGUGCUUGCACCCUGUCGGCGAGCGGCGGACGGCUGAGUAACGCGUGGGAACGUGCCCCAAAGUGAGGAAUAACUGCCCGAAAGGGUAGCUAAUACCGCAUAUUAUCUUCGGAUCAAAGGAUUUAUCCGCUUUGGGAGCGGCUCGCGUCGGAUUAGGUAGUUGGUGAGGUAAUGGCUCACCAAGCCGACGAUCCGUAGCUGGUCUGAGAGGAUGACCAGCCAGACUGGAACUGAGACACGGUCCAGACUCCUACGGGAGGCAGCAGUGAGGAAUCUUCCACAAUGGGCGAAAGCCUGAUGGAGCAACGCCGCGUGCAGGACGAAGGCCUUCGGGUUGUAAACUGCUUUUAUAAGUGAGGAAUAUGACGGUAACUUAUGAACAAGAAUCGGCUAACUACGUG